This 259-nucleotide ribosomal RNA is filed under the name uncultured Leptotrichia sp. RNAcentral's name for it is "partial 16S ribosomal RNA". It matches the Rfam family "Bacterial small subunit ribosomal RNA", at positions 95 to 354 of the family's 1533-position model. The record is from RNAcentral. Lineage: Bacteria; Fusobacteriati; Fusobacteriota; Fusobacteriia; Fusobacteriales; Leptotrichiaceae.
UAGGCGGACGGGUGAGUAACGCGUAAGAACUUGCCCUUUAGACUGGGAUAACAGAGGGAAACUUCUGAUAAUACUGGAUAAGUUAGUAUAUCGCAUGAUAUGCAAAUGAAAGCUACGGCACUAAAGGAGAGCUUUGCGUCCUAUUAGCUAGUUGGUAAGGUAAGAGCUUACCAAGGCGAUGAUAGGUAGCCGGCCUGAGAGGGUGGACGGCCACAAGGGGACUGAGAUACGGCCCUUACUCCUACGGGAGGCAGCAGAU